Molecule: long non-coding RNA, 553 nt
Organism: Helianthus annuus (common sunflower)
Lineage: Eukaryota; Viridiplantae; Streptophyta; Magnoliopsida; Asterales; Asteraceae
Exons: 3
Source: RefSeq, a predicted model, not a curated record
AUAUAUUCCAACACUAGCCCCUCAACUUUAUAAGGGAUGUUGCACCUAUUUUUCCUCAUAGAGCUUACUUACAUAUAUGUACUUUAUAUGAAUCCUUCUUGCUUCGUUUGAUACUUAAAUGGACUUCAUUAUUAUUUAUGGCUCAUGCACUUUCUUUGUUAAAUGCAGUGAUGCUAAUUUGGUAAAAGACAUCUAUUUUAAGUUACAUAUGGAUAAUGAUAGAAUGUUACCUAUGACAUUAAUAGUUGGUUUCCAAAGAGUACCUUUGAAAGUUUUCAACCGCUUUUCAACUGUUUGUAAAAAAAUGGCAUGAUGGGAUUGAAUCUUUGAAGUUUCGGUGGAAACAUGCUUGCUAUUGGGAAAAUUAUUAGGAGCUUAAAGCGGAAGAAGCCUUGAGCUUGAGAGAAUUGUAUGCAAAAGAGAUUUCAGAUGUUAACGCAGGAAGGUCAACACAUACGUUACAGUUUCCUGAACGUGUCUUUCAUUAAAUGGUUUAUUUCAACACUGCUAAAUUAGAUAUUUUAUUGUGAAGUAAAUGCCAUAAGUAAUUCAA